Triticum aestivum (bread wheat) is the source of this 1118-nucleotide long non-coding RNA. RefSeq lists it as uncharacterized. The record is from RefSeq and is a predicted model, not a curated record. NCBI's taxonomy places the organism in Eukaryota, Viridiplantae, Streptophyta, Magnoliopsida, Poales, Poaceae. The transcript has 2 exons.
UGCAUCGGCCGCCCCCUAUCUCGACCAAUGACUCGCUGUCAGAGUCCGACUCGGUUUCGAGAGCCUGGUUCCCUGAGAUUGUUUCCCUCGGGCUAGCUGCGACCAAAACAAUGCAGCAGGUGAGACAGAACCCCGGUGUGUCUCUAUCAAUCUCCUUCCCAACUCUAAAUCAGUCAGUGUAGUUCUAUUUCUAUGCUGGACCAGGGCAAUUUUGGCAGACAAGAUUGUAAAUCUUAGGAAUUUUGGAGCAGACGGAAACGUCCGCACACAGAUCAGCAGGCUGAAGGCGCAUACCGGAGACGGCGGGCGUUUGCGACUGGGUUGGCGCCGGGACGGUGUGGUGCGGCGCCCGGAGGCCUUCGGACCACCACAGGUGGCCGGCGUUGCUCCCUUCCAGCUCCAGGGCGUUCUGCUUGAGCACAGGAUGAAAAUUCAGUUAAACGCACGAACAGUAAAGGUACAGAAGCAGAGGCUGAGCUAUGAAGGAAGCUUCGGGGUAGUAGCAGCUGCUCACCGAGUCGCCGAAGCAGAGGCCCGGCAGGCCACCGCCGGGGGAGAACACGUCCGCUCUGGCGCCAGGAUCACCGCCGAACCCGCCGUCGUCGUUUCCAUGCCCGGGCCUGCCCCGCUGGGCCUCGGCCUCGGCGGCGGCGAUGUGCUGCCGAAUGAAGGCCUCGAACUCCAGCUCCGACGCGCACUUCUUCAUCUCUGACGGCUGCCUGCCUCUCCGUCUGUUCGUCACGGUGGUGGUGUUGUCGUCACUCUGUGCGUCUGUCUGUCUUUCUUGGCGAGGCCUCCGUUGCGGGGGGUGACAGCGUCGCCGGCGACGGCUUUUAUGGGGCGCGGGAAGGGGACGUGGAAAGCUCCGUUGGGGGAGAUGAAUAUGAUAGCGGCUGCGUGAAUGGACAGUGACGCGGGCUGACUCGGAUCCUCGUAAGGCCGAGAGGGAGGCAGCGUGCAAGGCUGGGUAGGGGCGUGCUUGCGUGUCCGUCGGCGACUUUUCAUUGGGUUCGGGACUUCAGAUCUGCUGCAAGUAUACUUAAAUAAUAGUAUUACGAUCGGAUGAAUCGGAUUGCAUUCAGUUAUCUUAUUGGUACAAGAUUAUGUUAUCCGGUGGC